CUAGAACUUCCAGUUCCUCAAACAGAACAGCAACAGCCGAAAGGUCCACCAACUUCUGGGGACAGCACUAAAAAAGGUACUGGGGUCUCAAAGCACUUCAGCCAGCCAAGCCGACCGCGCCAGUUGCACCGCGCCUCGUUCGCACUAAAAAAGGCCAAGACACACGCGCGUCCUGCCUCUCUGCUCGCAAACCAAGCUCACGCUCCAGCCACAGGCUCAGGCUACGCGAGGGCAGCUUUCGGCGAGACCUGGCUGAAAGCGGAGCAACCCCGACGGAGCCGGGGUCGGCCGCGGCAGCGGAGACAUCGCGGCGGCUCCCGGGCGGCCGGCCGCACGGCUCGCUGCAGGGCUCGCCUCAGCUCGCGCCCGGGAGCCGCGCGGCCGCAGGGCCGAGACGGCGCCCGCGGCACAGGCCCGGACCGAGCCCCUCGCGGCGCCGGGGCCGCCCGCCCCGCCGGGCCGCCGCCCCUGCGGGGCCUGUCAGGGCGCCGGGACCCCCUACCCCGAGCCGCCUCCGUCCCCCGCGGCAGCGCCGCCCCAGCCCCCGGCCCGACGCCCCCUGCAGCGGCCGGCCCGCCCGCGGCUCACCUGGGGCUGUCGGGGUCUCUCGCAUGGCGGGUCCCGGCCCGUCUCCUGCCCGCUCCCACCGCCGCUUCCCGCCCUCUCCCGCAGCUCUUCACACCCGGAAACGAUUCCGCUGGUGGCGCUUCCGCUUCCCGGCGACGCGCGCCGGCCGCGGGCGCAGAGCCCUCCCGAGGCCGCCGGGGGGCGGGGCGGGGCGGGGCGGGGCGGGCCCUGUCUCGGCGCCUCCCCGCGCUGCUGGGCCCGGAGCGCGGCGCGGGCCGCGAGGCCUGGGGUCUGCCUCGCCGCAGAGCUGCCGCACGAAGAAAUGAGAGAGUUCAAGCUGCAGCUGAAAGCUGCGGACAACAGCGGGAAAUAACGUUCCUUCUGCCUCGGAGCACGCAUUCCAAGACGUUAGCAGGAGCGAGGAAUUGGGAAAAGAGAAAACAAAACGCCAGAUUCCCAAGAACAGCUUAG
This 1038-nucleotide long non-coding RNA is filed under the name Anser brachyrhynchus (Pink-footed goose). RNAcentral's name for it is "lncRNA (ENSABRG00000022435.1)". Lineage: Eukaryota; Metazoa; Chordata; Aves; Anseriformes; Anatidae. The record is from RNAcentral.